AGCCUUACCCAGCUUGCAGCGAAUAGGUUAACUAGGUUAAUGGGUUAUGCCUUGGCUGUUUGGUUUCCAAGACAACAUAACCAUGUUUUGUGUUGCUGGUUAGGUUGCUAUCUAGCGGACACCACGGCAGCUGCUGGCUUCUUAGCUAGCUUGGGUUAUUAGCACCUACCUGCAGCUGGCCAGCGAACAUUACCACGACAUCUAGCUGAGGACAAUAAUGGAGCCAGAAUAAUUUGGCAGACUACGUUAGCUAGUUAGCUAGCUAGCUAGCAUUCGGUCGCUUUACAUAUUUGACAGACCAAAACAAUGACAAGAAAAGAUUUCAGUUGUUGGAAAACUCCACACAAGGGAACAUCUCCCUGCUGAUACGCUCCGCUGCCUACAAUGACAUCGGCUCAUACCGGUGCAGCUGUGGAGGAAGAACGUCUGAAGUCAAAUUAAAGGUGUUCGUUCCUACUGUAGUGAUGGUGAGAGAGCAGGAAAACAUCACUCUUCCCUGCUAUGGUGACACACGUAGGGAUGCCAGGGACGCGCAGUGGGUAAAAGAAGGACGGAGGGUUCUGCUCUACGACCGUGUGAGAUGAGGGACUUUAUCAGUGUACCAUUAAUGAUGAAUCUCGCGAGGGAGAACUAGAAGUUCAAAUUAAAGUUAUCUAAUUGUGAAAUAAUCUUCACUUUUUGAAGAAUCUGUGCCAUGAGCUGAACCAAACAGACUUUUAUUUAUAAACCAUUUAUACAAAACAUUAGAUAAUCACAUGUACAACUGUAGCUUCAGACAUAUUUAACAUGUAAAACUGAAGCGAAUCAGAUUUGAAAAGGAAAAAAAAAAAGUUACAUUGGAGGUAGAAUAAAGUUUUCAAAAGUUUUCAGGAGCUCUGCUCUUUUAUUACUAUGGGCCAUAAAUCUACUAAAACCAGUCUUCAAGAUUCAUUCAAAACAUUUCUCUACCUCACGCCGAGACACGAUCUUCAAGUAACACACGUGCAGACGGUAAGUAGCAGCAGUAGUCCUUAGUUUAGUGCCCAGCAUCAGGGGCCCCAUGUGAUUCUGGAACAGCAUGGUUGAGGUCAUCAAUGCGAC
Molecule: long non-coding RNA, 1080 nt
Organism: Electrophorus electricus (electric eel)
Lineage: Eukaryota; Metazoa; Chordata; Actinopteri; Gymnotiformes; Gymnotidae
Source: RefSeq, a predicted model, not a curated record